AUUGAACGCUGGCGGCAUGCCUUACACAUGCAAGUCGAACGGUAACAGGUCUUCGGAUGCUGACGAGUGGCGAACGGGUGAGUAAUACAUCGGAACGUGCCUAGUAGUGGGGGAUAACUACUCGAAAGAGUGGCUAAUACCGCAUGAGAUCUACGGAUGAAAGCAGGGGAUCGCAAGACCUUGUGCUACUAGAGCGGCCGAUGGCAGAUUAGGUAGUUGGUGGGGUAAAAGCUUACCAAGCCGACGAUCUGUAGCUGGUCUGAGAGGACGAUCAGCCACACUGGGACUGAGACACGGCCCAGACGCCGACGGGAUGCAGCGGUGGGGAAGUUUGGACAAUGGGCGCAAGCCUGAUCCAGCAAUGCCGCGUGCAGGAUGAAGGCCUUCGGGUUGUAAGCUGCUUUUGUACGGAACGAAAAGCCCUGGGUUAAUACCCUGGAGUCAUGACGGUACCGUAAGAAUAAGCACCGGCUAACUACGUGCCAGCCGCCGCAGUAA
RNAcentral lists this ribosomal RNA (498 nucleotides) under uncultured bacterium. Its description in RNAcentral is "partial 16S ribosomal RNA". It matches the Rfam family "Bacterial small subunit ribosomal RNA", at positions 30 to 523 of the family's 1533-position model. The record is from RNAcentral.